Molecule: transfer RNA, 76 nt
Filed under: Alphaproteobacteria bacterium
Lineage: Bacteria; Pseudomonadati; Pseudomonadota; Alphaproteobacteria
Description: tRNA-Phe
Rfam family: tRNA
About the family: Transfer RNA (tRNA) molecules are approximately 80 nucleotides in length.
Source: RNAcentral
GCCUGAGUAGCUCAGUCGGUAGAGCAAGCGACUGAAAAUCGCUGUGUCGCUGGUUCGAUUCCGGCCUCAGGCACCA